GCGGGAUUAGUAUAGUGGUAAUAUGUAUCCUUCCCAAGGAUAAGAUGCCAGUUCGAUUCUGGUAUCCCGCU
Molecule: transfer RNA, 71 nt
Filed under: Berkelbacteria bacterium GW2011_GWE1_39_12
Lineage: Bacteria; Candidatus Berkelbacteria
Description: tRNA-Gly
Rfam family: tRNA
About the family: Transfer RNA (tRNA) molecules are approximately 80 nucleotides in length. Their secondary structure includes four short double-helical elements and three loops (D, anti-codon, and T loops). Further hydrogen bonds mediate the characteristic L-shaped molecular structure. tRNAs have two regions of fundamental functional importance: the anti-codon, which is responsible for specific mRNA codon recognition, and the 3' end, to which the tRNAs corresponding amino acid is attached (by aminoacyl-tRNA synthetases). tRNAs cope with the degeneracy of the genetic code in two manners: having more than one tRNA (with a specific anti-codon) for a particular amino acid; and 'wobble' base-pairing, i.e. permitting non-standard base-pairing at the 3rd anti-codon position.
Source: RNAcentral